GGAGAUGUGGCUCAGUGGUAGAGCUCCUGCCCUGCAUGCAGAAGGUCCUGGGUUUGAUCCCCAGCACCUUGG
RNAcentral lists this transfer RNA (72 nucleotides) under Cavia porcellus (domestic guinea pig). It matches the Rfam family "tRNA". From Rfam's summary of the family: Transfer RNA (tRNA) molecules are approximately 80 nucleotides in length. Their secondary structure includes four short double-helical elements and three loops (D, anti-codon, and T loops). Lineage: Eukaryota; Metazoa; Chordata; Mammalia; Rodentia; Caviidae. The record is from Rfam by way of RNAcentral.